Molecule: ribosomal RNA, 253 nt
Filed under: uncultured bacterium
Lineage: Bacteria
Description: partial 16S ribosomal RNA
Rfam family: Bacterial small subunit ribosomal RNA
Source: RNAcentral
UACGUAGGGGGCAAGCGUUGUCCGGAAUCAUUGGGCGUAAAGCGCGUGUAGGCGGCCCGGUAAGUCCGCUGUGAAAGUCGGGGGCUCAACCCUCGGAUGCCGGUGGAUACUGUCGGGCUAGAGUGCGGAAGAGGCGAGUGGAAUUCCUGGUGUAGCGGUGAAAUGCGCAGAUAUCAGGAGGAACACCAAUUGCGAAGGCAGCUCGCUGGGACGUUACUGACGCUGAGACGCGAAAGCGUGGGGAGCAAACAGG